This 84-nucleotide transfer RNA is filed under the name Ixodes scapularis (black-legged tick). It matches the Rfam family "tRNA". From Rfam's summary of the family: Transfer RNA (tRNA) molecules are approximately 80 nucleotides in length. Their secondary structure includes four short double-helical elements and three loops (D, anti-codon, and T loops). Further hydrogen bonds mediate the characteristic L-shaped molecular structure. tRNAs have two regions of fundamental functional importance: the anti-codon, which is responsible for specific mRNA codon recognition, and the 3' end, to which the tRNAs corresponding amino acid is attached (by aminoacyl-tRNA synthetases). tRNAs cope with the degeneracy of the genetic code in two manners: having more than one tRNA (with a specific anti-codon) for a particular amino acid; and 'wobble' base-pairing, i.e. permitting non-standard base-pairing at the 3rd anti-codon position. The record is from Rfam by way of RNAcentral. Lineage: Eukaryota; Metazoa; Arthropoda; Arachnida; Ixodida; Ixodidae.
GCAGUUCUGGUCGAGUAGUUUAAGGCGAUGGACUAGAAGUUCAUUGGGGUCUCCCCGCACAGGUUCGAAUUCCUGUCGGCUGCG